CAGCCUGUCUAACAGUACUUCGGUUCAAAUCUGUUUAUUUUUCAUCUUCCUUCUGGUUGCAUGUUCUUUGCUCAUAUGGGGGGAGAUAUUUGUCGAACAAAAUGAUGUUAAGGAUUUCUUUGUUGGAAUGGGAGCAUCUCUCAUUUUCAAUGGCUGGAAACCAUCUGAGUUAUGUUUCCCUGCUAUUGCUGGUGCUGGGUAUCGAUUUGUUGUUUUCGUUUCAAGCUUGAGAUUUAUGUUGAAGUUAUUCCUUUCCUAUUUUUGGAUGGGAAAUUUUUAUACGACGUUGUUUGAAAAGUGAAAAUGAUAUGAAAUUGGGUUCUUAAUAAAUUCCUGCAUUCAUUGUGUUUGUUGAAAUUAGUAUGAGCCAGCCCAUCAUCUUCCCACUGCUUUUUUGUUGUUGAUGAUUCUCUAUGUGUGAGAUUUGUGGUUGCUUUGUCAAUUUCAGUUUUGAAACUUCUGCUGAAAGGUGUGUUUUAGAAUCUAGAGGUUAUAUAGUGAGUGAACACAUCUACAACUAUGACGGGAAUUCUAGCUAGUGUCUAGAUUUUUUCCUGUGACAAGGAUGCACAGGCUCAGCCUUUUGCUUGGCGAAGUUUUUUCCGGUGCUUCACGGUGCAACUGCACUAGAACUAUGGUGCAACAGGACUUAUGACAGUGGCACAAUCUGAUGUUAAUAAAACCAACCAGAGUUGCUAUGGUGAAUCAAAGCUGAAUUACUGGACAAUUGAUGGGAGCCAUGAAGUACUCGUGCCUCUAUGUAUGAUUUUCAAGUUAAUUGGUUGACCUUAUUAAUCUAUCAUUCUUUGUUUGCAUUUGCAAGUGAAAAUUGCAGAUUUUAUAGAUGGGUUGCAGGUAAAGAAGGGCCUGUUUGUGAUAA
Long non-coding RNA from Magnolia sinica, 880 nucleotides. RefSeq lists it as uncharacterized. NCBI's taxonomy places the organism in Eukaryota, Viridiplantae, Streptophyta, Magnoliopsida, Magnoliales, Magnoliaceae. The transcript has 2 exons. The record is from RefSeq and is a predicted model, not a curated record.